This 497-nucleotide ribosomal RNA is filed under the name uncultured bacterium. RNAcentral's name for it is "partial 16S ribosomal RNA". It matches the Rfam family "Bacterial small subunit ribosomal RNA", at positions 28 to 507 of the family's 1533-position model. The record is from RNAcentral.
GAUGAACGCUGGCGGCGUGCCUAAUACAUGCAAGUCGAGCGAACAGACGAGGAGCUUGCUCCUCUGACGUUAGCGGCGGACGGGUGAGUAACACGUGGAUAACCUACCUAUAAGACUGGGAUAACUUCGGGAAACCUGAUCUAAUACCGGAUAAUAUAUUGAACCGCAUGGUUCAAUAGUGAAAGACGGUUUUGCUGUCACUUAUAGAUGGAUCCGCGCCGCAUUAGCUAGUUGGUAAGGUAACGGCUUACCAAGGCAACGAUGCGUAGCCGACCUGAGAGGGUGAUCGGCCACACUGGAACUGAGACACGGUCCAGACUCCUACGGGAGGCAGCAGUAGGGAAUCUUCCGCAAUGGGCGAAAGCCUGACGGAGCAACGCCGCGUGAGUGAUGAAGGUCUUCGGAUCGUAAAACUCUGUUAUUAGGGAAGAACAAAUGUGUAAGUAACUAUGCACGUCUUGACGGUACCUAAUCAGAAAGCCACGGCUAACUACGUG